Molecule: ribosomal RNA, 253 nt
Filed under: uncultured bacterium
Lineage: Bacteria
Description: partial 16S ribosomal RNA
Rfam family: Bacterial small subunit ribosomal RNA
Source: RNAcentral
UACAGAGGUCUCAAGCGUUGUUCGGAAUCACUGGGCGUAAAGGGUGCGUAGGCGGUUUUUUAAGUCGGAUGUGCAAUCCCCAGGCUCAACCUGGGAACUGCAUCCGAGACUGGAAGGCUAGAGUACUGGAGAGGGUGGUGGAAUUCCUCGUGUAGCGGUGAAAUGCGUAGAGAUGAGGAGGAACACCAGUGGCGAAGGCGGCCACCUGGACAGUAACUGACGCUGAGGCGCGAAAGCGUGGGUAGCAAACAGG